AUACUUACCUGAUAGGAGAGAUACUGUGAUCAUUAAGGCAGUAUUCUCAUGGCGAGGCCUACCCAUUGCACUUCGGGGGGGAGGUUGACCUUUGCGAUUUCCCCAAAUGUAGGAAAGUCGACCGUGAAAUUUGUAAAAUGCAGGAGACGAUUGACCGGC
This 159-nucleotide small nuclear RNA is filed under the name Eptatretus burgeri (inshore hagfish). RNAcentral describes it as "U1 spliceosomal RNA (ENSEBUG00000000068.1)". It matches the Rfam family "U1 spliceosomal RNA". From Rfam's summary of the family: U1 is a small nuclear RNA (snRNA) component of the spliceosome (involved in pre-mRNA splicing). Its 5' end forms complementary base pairs with the 5' splice junction, thus defining the 5' donor site of an intron. There are significant differences in sequence and secondary structure between metazoan and yeast U1 snRNAs, the latter being much longer (568 nucleotides as compared to 164 nucleotides in human). Lineage: Eukaryota; Metazoa; Chordata; Myxini; Myxiniformes; Myxinidae. The record is from Rfam by way of RNAcentral.